Molecule: unclassified non-coding RNA, 295 nt
Filed under: air metagenome
Description: partial contains small subunit ribosomal RNA, internal transcribed spacer 1, and 5.8S ribosomal RNA
Rfam family: Eukaryotic small subunit ribosomal RNA (bases 1-46)
Source: RNAcentral
AAGUCGUAACAAGGUUUCCGUAGGUGAACCUGCGGAAGGAUCAUUAAAGUGAAAGCUUAGUCCCUUGUGGACGUGGUAGCCCAAAACCUCCAGGGGCAACCCGGGGGCUGGCCGCCUAACCCUCUGUUUACAUUACCUUGUUUCUUUGGCGGGCCGCGGCCUCGCGCCCCGCCGGCUUCCCUCACGGGGGCUGGCGUGUGCCCGUCAGAGGCCCAUUCAAAAUCUGUUUUAAAAAUGCAGUCUAAGUCUAUAUUUUAAUAGCCUAAAACUUUCAACAACGGAUCUCUUGGUUCUG